Molecule: ribosomal RNA, 253 nt
Filed under: uncultured bacterium
Lineage: Bacteria
Description: partial 16S ribosomal RNA
Rfam family: Bacterial small subunit ribosomal RNA
Source: RNAcentral
UACGAAGGGUGCAAGCGUUACUCGGAAUUACUGGGCGUAAAGCGUGCGUAGGCGGUUUGUUAAGUCCGCUGUGAAAGCCCUGGGCUCAACCUGGGAAUUGCAGUGGAUACUGGCAAGCUAGAGUGCGGUAGAGGAUGGUGGAAUUCCCGGUGUAGCGGUGAAAUGCGUAGAGAUCGGGAGGAACACCGGUGGCGAAGGCGGCAUCCUGGACCGAGAUUGACGCUGAGGCGCGAAAGCCAGGGGAGCAAACGGG